This 23-nucleotide non-coding RNA is filed under the name Arabidopsis thaliana (thale cress). The record is from RNAcentral. Lineage: Eukaryota; Viridiplantae; Streptophyta; Magnoliopsida; Brassicales; Brassicaceae.
UUGAGUUGAGUUGGGUUUACCUA